Molecule: long non-coding RNA, 3637 nt
Organism: Helianthus annuus (common sunflower)
Lineage: Eukaryota; Viridiplantae; Streptophyta; Magnoliopsida; Asterales; Asteraceae
Exons: 2
Source: RefSeq, a predicted model, not a curated record
AACGAAAGAUUUAUGUUGAAAGCAAUUAACCCGAUGUGACCGGGUCGUAAGCGGUAUGCUUGAAUCUCAUUAUGAGAGUAUAUGCCAUUACCCCUUUAAUUGGGUAAUCGAAUGUGUAAAGGAAAUGAAAGUAUAUGAGCAAAUGGAACUAAAAUGUUAGUAUUGUAAGCGAAAUAAGUAUUAUGACUAACUUUCAAAAUGGGAAGGGCAAGUGUUUGCAAGAAAACACUGGAACAGUGAAGCGAUGAGAUCGUAAGCAUGUCUGAACUGAAAAGGAGUACAAACAUGUACCUCGAUACGUAUGUAUAUAUAAAUAAUAAGAAUGAUAUAUUAAGAAAUGGCCAUGUAUUGACUCGUUAUGAAUAGGUCUAACACACUAAUGUCUUAAGAAGAAUUGAGAAAGUAUUGAUAUAUAAAUGAGGUGAUGUGAUAAACAACAUGUCUGAAUGAGAUCGAAUGAAAUGUGUAAAUCACAAAUUUUAUAAUGAGAUUGGCAGUAAUCAUGAUGCAAUAAAGCUACCUAGGACGGUGAAAGAAUGCUCAUGAAUGGAAGCUCAUGUUACCAGAUGGACAAGAUCAACCCUGUUAAGAUACGGGUUCGUGAAGGAGCAAGUCAACUCGGGUUGUUACACGUUGGCUCGUGCCAAAUUAGCGAGGUUAGUAAAUGGUUUAACUUGUGGAUGUUAAAUAGAAAGUUACAUAUUGAAUAAUACUUCUAUGCGAACUGGUGGUACUGAAUUGAGUGAUCGUAACUGUGGAAAUUCUGAUAGAAUAUAAGAAACGACAAGUAUCGAUAAGAAAUGCUAACCUUGAUGCUCGGCUUGUUGGCCAUGUUCAUUUGAACAAGGCAUUGUAGAAAAGAUAUGCAUGACAUAAAUAACAAUAGUAACCAUGGAAAUAAUGCUUAGUCUUCAUGUUAAGUACGGAUAAGUAGGUGUAAAAAGGGUGAUUUCGGUUGUAAUAAUAAGUCUUUGAAUGAUUGCAGUAGGCGUAUGAUAAUAUAUCGACCCUUCCUAUGAGCUUAAAGCUAAUCAGAGGUAAUGAUAAUAAUGGAAUGUUUAGGAUAGCUCAUAGUGAACAAAAUAAAAGAUAACAUAUGAUGUAUGAGUAGUAUGAAAUAAAUCGAUUUAUUUUGAUUAGUAAAUGUAUGAAUGUAAUAUGGUUAAAUAGGAAGCUAGAAACAAGUUGUGACCUUAGGUCUUUACGAGUAAUAAUUGUAUACAUUUGGAAUAAGUUCAAUAAAUGAAAUGCUAGUGAUAGUAUGUACUAGAAACUAGCAAUAUAAAGUGAAAGACACUAAUAAGAGCUCUGGAUCAGACCCUGACCUCGUGUGAUUAUGAAAGUAAAUUACUAAUUUAAGAAGAUAAGGACAAUGCGUACGAUCAUAAUUAUUCAUGAUUAAGACUUUUGCAAAGACCCCGAAUGACUUAUGUUGUAAUGUGCCCAUUGAAUGAGUACAAUAGAAAGGUAGGAGUAAGAACGAGAAAGGUUUCGGGGACGAAACCUUCUUUAAGGGGGGUAGACUUGUAACACCCCAAAAUUUGAAUUAUUAAAUUCGUUAGCAUGUUGCCAUGUUUAAUAAAAUGAGAUACAAUAACUAAGUUAAUAAACCUAGUUAAAUGCCUAUUAGAUAAGCUAAAUGAUGAAACUUGUGGCAUUUAUGAUAGUAAGUUAAACUUGAGGGACUUAGAGUGCCAAACUUGGAAGUUUAAUUUAUUAAAACAAAAAUCACACACACAUCCACACAACGUGUGCGUGUGAUCGAGCAGGAGAAAAGGGGAAGGGGUGUAAACCCUAACCCACAUGAAAUCAUCAAAUUGGAAAAGGAUUUGAGGGUUAAUUGGAUGCAUGAACCAAGAUUUAUGAUCACUCAAGCGUUCUUGACACCAAGAUAGGAAUCCCAAAUUGAGAUGGACCCAAGUAUGGAAAGCUAACGGGUCAAGCGGAGGUGAGGAAGCAAGCAUGAACACUAACGCUUAAGGUAAGUGAUUCCGUAAUCACUUCUUAGUUGUUUAUGUAAUGUUAUAUGCAAUUUAAUUAUAUGUGAUAAUUGAGGUCGAAUAGGAAUGAAUUGUAUGAUGUCAAUGGAGUAUUAAACGGAUUUUAGUUUUGAUCCGAGCAAGGUAGGUGUGAUUAAGAAAUAGUAGCUAAGUAGUGGAAUUGGUUACUUAUGUAAGGAAUUCCUUUGUUAUUAAGGAUAGAGCAUAGUUGACUAAAAUGCCCUUGAUAGGUAUAUUGGGCAAACGACCUUAGAAGUCGUUUGGAAACGAGCUAUUCGAUUAGAGUAAUGUCUUGGACAAGUAUGAAAGCGAAGUAUAGGGUUUGGUAUGUCAUAGUCCACUUAAUGCGCAAAUACCCAUAACGGGUCAAAAAUAAGCCUUUGAGCGAAAAUGGGUUAAGAGGAUGCAAGACGUCCGAGAAUUUAAUCUUUUAUGAUAGGUGCCAAUGAAAUUAUUAAAGUUCAUAUGAGAUUGAGGUCAAAUAAACAGAUUAUGUUGAUAAAUGCACGAACGGGUCAAUUAGUUAGAAAAUGAUAAUAUGCCGAAUGCACGUAAGUUAAGAAUUUCCUUAAUCCGGAGGUAGGAUUUCAAGUUAAUAUGAUAGAAUGUGAAUUUACAAGCAUGUAGGAAGAAACGGGAGGUUAAACAGGUAAACGGUUUAAAAGUUAUGCGAGUUUUAGUGGGUGUUUUGUAUCUGCACCCGGAGUAUGGAACGCCGGGUUUGGGAGUAUGGAACGCCGGGCAGAAACCCAAACGCCCAUGCUUCACUGUCAAACGCUGGUACCAUGUUAAAGUGAACGUCGGGGUGUUCCAAACAAGCCUAGAUCACUUUCCUUGAGUUCCUUUGAUGUGUGUAAAGCUCCAUGUGAUAGGUUUAUGAUCCGGAAUUAUCACGUAACCUUCCACCACUACCCUACAUGUAAAAAUGCAUCAAAGUAACAUGUCUCGAUACAAAUACGAUGCUAAAACAUGUAAAUAUUAACCACUUAGGCGUACCAAAAGCAUAUGCAUCAGAUAUGUACGUAUGUAUGUAGGUAUAAAUAUGAUUGUAUGUAGAUAUGUAGGUGCGUAUGAUCAGACGUAUGGAUAUAUGAAUGCACGAAGUAGGAUUUAUCGUCUAUGAAAAGAAUGGGACAGGUAUGCAUGUAUACAUGGUUUCAAUACGUUUGAGUAUGGACAUUACUAAUGAUGUGCUUGAGAUUGAAAUGUAAUGCAGGAAUGAGAACGUCAGACUCUUGUAGAAUUGAAGCCGAACCUUGAAGCCGAACUCGGAACAAAGGAAUCCGAGAGGAUAGUCGAAUGAAUCAAAGUUUAUGUUGUCGAAUGUUAUAUGAUUUUUAAUUUGUAUCAGAUUAUUGUAGUAUGACGUUGUCAAUGACUAAUGGUUAAGUUGUAUGUGGCGUCCACAGGUACUACACGGAUUUCUUCUGCUGCUAAGGAAGUGAAGCGGACGUAGAUCGAGUCAAGAGCAAGGAUUGUACGGAUAGAUCGGUCACAUAGUUGAAGUAUAUAAUGUCUAGAAAUCUAAAUUUUAGUAUGAAUGUUGUGAAUUCUUUUAUAGAACGUUUAACAUUUUUAGAAUUUGGAACCUUCGUGAAAGUAAUGUCAUUAAUAAGGAAAGAAAUUUUAAAGCUCUU